RNAcentral lists this unclassified non-coding RNA (1287 nucleotides) under Hevea brasiliensis (rubber tree). Lineage: Eukaryota; Viridiplantae; Streptophyta; Magnoliopsida; Malpighiales; Euphorbiaceae. The record is from RNAcentral.
UUGCCUCUAUAGAUCCUGCGGUCGAGCUGAUAAAAGAUUUGCAGUCCACACGACUAAACGUUUUUCAGUACAGUAUACCGAUGAUCUUCAAGCAGAAUGUCCUGGAUUCGGAGAAAAAACAAACAACGUUUGACAUUACUGAUGCACGGAGGAGUUCCUGUAAUCCGUCUUGGCAAAACGUCCCUUGAUUCGUGUUCUAGUUUCUGCACGAGCCUUUCUUGACUCGUACCUGAUAUGCUUCUCAUAUCUCCUUGUUUUCUUCUUCUCCUUGUACCGUGAGACAGCAGUUUCUCUUUCUUGGCUGUUUAACUCGCGAUGAACGACUUUAGGUACCAUUUGAAAUGUUUCAGUAGUGGGAGGAUGAUGAGAUUGUUCUUCAUUUCCUCCACCAGAAGCAUCACAAACAUCUGAAUCUCUGUCGGGUAGUAAGCACUUCGUCUCAAUGAAGCAGUCCGUUAAAGAAGAAGAAAAGCCUUGAUCUACGAAUUCAACAGUAUCACCGUGCCAAUGAAAGGCACUCCCCUCAGAUGAAGGAACUACAUGUUGAUCUGACCUCUGCAUAAAUCCCGAACCUUUAUAUCUCAACGGACAAUUUUGUACAGGUUCCAUAGAUUGAAAUCCUGUAGUUGGUACAUUUUCAUCUUGAUCAUCACCAGAAUUUGGUUCCAACUUUGAUAAUUCGCGAAGCUGACCAAGUAUUUCUUCCUUGUGUUUUCCACAAGCAGCAUUUCGGUUCUUAGGAAGAGGAGGAACCCCAAUAGCUUGAUAAUUAUGUCGAGACUCAUUAUUAUUAGCAAUCAAAUCAUCAAGAGUAACAACAGACGGAGUAUCCCAAAUAACCCAAUCAGAGAAACCAUAAGCUCCAUCAUCCCCGCCACACAAAAGUUCCUUCUUCCCCAAAUCUUCAAAUCCAAGAAUCGACAACAGCUCAGAAACAGAAGGACACCCGGUAAACCCCUCGAGUGGUCUUCUUUCAUGUAGAGACAAUAGUUUGUUAUGAGAUUCCCAAUCACAAUUCUGACACAAAACAGAGGUCUCUGUACAGCAGAGUAUAGAAGCUGGAGAAGAAUCACAAAGAUUACAGAGCAACCAACGAGUGUGUUUAGUGAAAAGCUGAUUCGUUGAAUGAACUUCACGGUCACAGGUAAAACAGAGCUUAGCUGAAUCUGCUCUGCAAUACAAAAGUGCUGUGUUGUUUCCACAAAAAUCACAAAGAUGCUGGUGGUGAUUUUCUUCAUCUUUUUUUACUUCAGUCAUGUUUUUUCUUUGAGAGAUUUUUUUUUUUGG